GUGGCAGUAGCUCAGUGGUAGAGCCCCGCUUCGCAUGCGGGGAGACCUGGGUUCGAUUCCCGGCUGCUUCC
This 71-nucleotide transfer RNA is filed under the name Toxocara canis (dog roundworm). It matches the Rfam family "tRNA". From Rfam's summary of the family: Transfer RNA (tRNA) molecules are approximately 80 nucleotides in length. Their secondary structure includes four short double-helical elements and three loops (D, anti-codon, and T loops). The record is from Rfam by way of RNAcentral. Lineage: Eukaryota; Metazoa; Nematoda; Chromadorea; Rhabditida; Toxocaridae.